CUGGCGGCGUGCCUAAUACAUGCAAGUCGAGCGGAUCUUCAUUAGCUUGCUUUUGAAGAUCAGCGGCGGACGGGUGAGUAACACGUGGGCAACCUGCCUGUAAGACUGGGAUAACUUCGGGAAACCGGAGCUAAUACCGGAUAAUCCUUUCCCUCACAUGAGGGAAA
Molecule: ribosomal RNA, 167 nt
Filed under: Mesobacillus selenatarsenatis SF-1
Lineage: Bacteria; Bacillati; Bacillota; Bacilli; Caryophanales; Bacillaceae
Description: small subunit ribosomal RNA
Rfam family: Bacterial small subunit ribosomal RNA
Source: RNAcentral